CCUCGUCCAAGCUGGCAUGAUUUUAAAAUGGUAGAGGAGAGGAGAGAGAGGUUUAAUGGGGACAAUAGCAGCCAACGUGAUUGGCACAGUGACUACGGCUGUCGCUAUCAGGUUGUUAGAAAGGAGGCCGGUUUGACGAGGAACAGUGCUAUUGGAGAGGAGGCUGGCCUGACGAGGAACAGUGCUAGCAAGGGGGGACGGGAAGAGGUCAAAGAUGGACCAGAGAACAAACUGAACACAGCAACCUUCAAGGAUGCAGAACCAAGUUUCCACCGUGAUGAAAGUUUGAAUAAUUCAAAAGAUGCAGACCCAAUGAGAGAAGAGGCCACAUUGAUGGCCAAAUAGCAACAGGGACAGUCUAUGGAGGCAACAAAACAAAGCAAAGAGAUAGGGGGAAAGAAGAUAGCUAUAGCACAAUUAAAAUACUAUGCACCUCAGACUUUAGGGCAACCAGAAGAGACAGGGCAAGAUAGUAUGAUAGAUGAGGUCGACCAGCUAGCAUGGGCAAUGGGAAAGCAUAGGAAAGAUGAAACUGGGUAGAAACAUGUGCAAGGUCUUCAACAGGAAAUGGGGCCCAGAUAGAUGAGGACCAGACAAAUGGUCAUAACCAAG
This 612-nucleotide long non-coding RNA is filed under the name Setaria viridis. RNAcentral's name for it is "long non-coding RNA (SVIR_LNC002222)". Lineage: Eukaryota; Viridiplantae; Streptophyta; Magnoliopsida; Poales; Poaceae. The record is from RNAcentral.